RNAcentral lists this microRNA precursor (124 nucleotides) under Picea abies (Norway spruce). RNAcentral's name for it is "miR11523a stem-loop (pab-MIR11523a)". The record is from miRBase by way of RNAcentral. Lineage: Eukaryota; Viridiplantae; Streptophyta; Pinopsida; Pinales; Pinaceae.
GAGUUCCGAAGCUUCAUCUUCUCAGCAGAUUUAAUCCCCGACUUUUACAUAGCCAGAGUGCUUGUAAUAACACCAGGUUUGUAGGGUUGGGGAUUAAAUUGCUCAGAAGUUGAAGUCGGAAUUU